RNAcentral lists this long non-coding RNA (306 nucleotides) under Panax ginseng (ginseng). RNAcentral describes it as "long non-coding RNA (PGIN_LNC015631)". The record is from RNAcentral. Lineage: Eukaryota; Viridiplantae; Streptophyta; Magnoliopsida; Apiales; Araliaceae.
UUUCAGUUCCAAGACACUGCCCAAAAUAGUGGGUAAAAAUAGCUUGACACAAUAGAUUUAACCUAUGGUUUUAGCUUGAAAUUGCAUCUCCUUUAAUGGUGUAAGUAUCUAGCCCAAGCUUUAAUUCUAUCAAUUAACCAACAGUUAAGCAAAACAGUCCUUUAAGGACUUUUAUCAAACAGUUUGGGUACAUAGUUUUCAGCUACCAGUUUCGCAGCCAUCUAUUUAUGUCACUAACCCAUUUUGUUCUCCUUAUUACUCUUAAGCCCAUCCUAUCUCCUCUACUCAAAUUCAGUACAUAAUAAU